UUGGUGUGAAUUGCAGAAUCCCGUGAACCAUCGAGUCUUUGAACGCAAGUUGCGCCUGAAGCCAUUAGGCUGAAGGCACGUCUGCCUGGGCGUCACGC
Molecule: ribosomal RNA, 98 nt
Filed under: Agapetes pensilis
Lineage: Eukaryota; Viridiplantae; Streptophyta; Magnoliopsida; Ericales; Ericaceae
Description: partial 5.8S ribosomal RNA
Rfam family: 5.8S ribosomal RNA
About the family: 5.8S ribosomal RNA (5.8S rRNA) is a component of the large subunit of the eukaryotic ribosome. It is transcribed by RNA polymerase I as part of the 45S precursor that also contains 18S and 28S rRNA. Functionally, it is thought that 5.8S rRNA may be involved in ribosome translocation.
Source: RNAcentral